Theobroma cacao (cacao) is the source of this 383-nucleotide non-coding RNA. The record is from RefSeq and is a predicted model, not a curated record. Lineage: Eukaryota; Viridiplantae; Streptophyta; Magnoliopsida; Malvales; Malvaceae.
GAGAGAAAGGAAGAAAAAGCUUGAUUUUUUAAUUCAAGCAAGCUAUGGUGGCCAUGGGUGUGAGGGAAUUAUGAAUUUUGUUGGGUGAAAUCCAAGCCAAAACCAAGUGGAAAUACAAAGGUAAAGUUAGAGUACUGUGGUGGUACGCUGGGGGAAAUAACGAGUGACCGGCAAGUAGGAAUAGCCAGAUACACCUCCGAACAAAUAGCGAUGUAAUAUCCCGCUAUUGUAAGGUUUCCUGAGUCAAAGGUGAUUGGAUCCUAGGACGAGUUGUUCCUCCCUAUCCAUUGCUCGGUAGGUUUACCAUGGUAUUAAGUGUUAGCAACAGUGCCCAGAGUCACUCCGCUGACAGUCAAGUUCUAAUUACGUGUAUAUGAAUACUU